UACGGAGGGGGCUAGCGUUGUUCGGAAAUACUGGGCGUAAAGAGCUCGUAGGCGGCUUGGCAAGUCGGGUGUGAAACCUCCAGCUCAACCUGGAGACGCCACUCGAUACUGCCAUGGCUAGAGUCCGGUAGGGGACCACGGAAUUCCUGGUGUAGCGGUGAAAUGCGCAGAUAUCAGGAGGAACACCGGUGGCGAAGGCGGUGGUCUGGGCCGGCACUGACGCUGAGGAGCGAAAGCGUGGGUAGCAAACAGG
RNAcentral lists this ribosomal RNA (253 nucleotides) under uncultured bacterium. RNAcentral's name for it is "partial 16S ribosomal RNA". It matches the Rfam family "Bacterial small subunit ribosomal RNA", at positions 524 to 776 of the family's 1533-position model. The record is from RNAcentral.